GAUACAGGCGUUGAAACACUGGUUCCUGUAUGAUCACCGAAGUUAAGCAACAUCGAGGCUGGUCAGUACCUAGAUGGGUAACCGUUUGGGUAUCUCAGGUACUGUAAG
Non-coding RNA from Acanthosepion pharaonis, 108 nucleotides. Lineage: Eukaryota; Metazoa; Mollusca; Cephalopoda; Sepiida; Sepiidae. The record is from the annotation of a GenBank genome assembly.